Molecule: small RNA, 127 nt
Filed under: Marmota monax (woodchuck)
Lineage: Eukaryota; Metazoa; Chordata; Mammalia; Rodentia; Sciuridae
Source: RNAcentral
GCUGGGCGGGGUGUGGCACACCUGUAAUCCCAGUGACUCAGGAGGCUGAGGCAGGAGGAUUGCAAGUUCAAAGCCAGCCUCACCAGUCUAGCAGGGUACUUAACAACUCAGCAAGACCCUGUCUAUA